GGCCAGUUCUCAACCAACUCGAGGCUCGGGUUUGGCAUUUUCGCGGAGCUUGUACCGGUACAAGGGCCCGUGUACCGGUACAAGGUGGCUGAAUGUGAGCAGUUUGGUCUGCAGGGGUGUUUUUGCUAUUGUAGCAUUUCUAUAAGUGCACCCCACGCCCCUUAGGGCCUCCCCUGUGCAGAGACCAGCAGGAGUUGAGGUAGGAGGAGCUCUCUCUCCCUUCCUUUGCAUUUUUACUCCUUUUGCUUGGUUUUUAUUGGGUUUUCUCUCCUCUAUUUGCAUCUUGGUGGCUUCUCCACCAUUGUUGAUGGCUUAGAGCUUGGAGAGGAGCUAGUGGCUGCGGAGAUCUUCAACAUCACUUGGAUUGGAGCUAAGUUUGGAGCUUCUUGAGAGGUUAGAGACUUGAUUUCUCCCUUUGAUCCUUGAUUUGAGGUUUUUGUGAGAUCAAACCCUAGAAAUGGAAAUUUAGGGUUUACUUGGGCAUUUUCGUUUUAGGGCUUUUGAGGCUUGAUUCUUUGGAUUAGAACCUUCCUCUAGAUUGGAUUGGAAGGAUUCUAGCCUCCUUUUUGAGCUUGUGAAGAGAUUUUCCAUAAGAGGUGAGUUUUUGCCCUUAGUAUGAGAUGGUUAAUGUUUGAGCUAUUGAUUGUUCGUUUCAUUCGAGUAACGCUUGUUCCUACAUCCUUAGGGUAUUAGGAGACUAGAGGACACCCUCGUUGGAGCAAACGAGGAGUUUCGUUGUCAUCGGUGGGUUUGGCUUCUUUGAAAUGGGAGGAAAUUCCUCCUAUGCGGUUAAAUGCUUUCAUUUACCAUAAGUUCAUGCAUAUUCAUGUUUAGUAGCAUUUAUGAGAAUUUUUGAAUGCUUAGAACUCAUAUGUUAUGCAUCAAGAAAAUUUACUCUAUAUAGUAGAGAGAGACAAUGUGCUUUGUUAAUAUGCAUGCGGCGAACAUUCUAUGAGAUGGUAGGAAAUCAAGUUUCUUGCUUCGAUUUUGACUAGAAUUAUAAGUGCUUGAACUUAGUAUCCAUGUUGGGACAAAAUGAGCCAUAGUGUCAUAAAGAGGCACUUGGCCGAGAGAAUUAUUAAACUGCAACAUAGAGGCUUGAUAAUAGGCCACGUUGACAUCAACUAUAUUCCAUAUUUAAGAUAUGAUGAAAUAGUGACUUGGCCACGAUGACAUUUACUAUAUUCCAUGUUUGAGACAUGACGACCUAGAGAUAGGCCUAUGAGAUUGGUGACAUAUUCCAUGUUAUUAGACAUGAGGACUUGGUACUUGUGACAGAUCGUUUGACUACUUGCCAUUGUGCUCAUUCGCACAUGCUUGUGAGGGUCGCUCCCUACAAGCCGGCACUCCGGAGAUAGCCAUCGCGAUUCAUAUUCGCCGUGCGGGAUUGGGCGCCGAAGUGGAUUGCCGUGGGCCAGGCUCAUUCCUAGGGUGGGGAUGAUGACUACCACGGGGCCAUUAGGCUCGGCACCGGCCAGACAGCCUACGGGUGGAUCUCAGGGCCUUAGACAGCCUUCGGGUGGGUCUCUUCAGAUUUGACUUUGGGUACUUCACUAUGACAUGUGGACAGAUGAUGACUUAGUAUAUUGACUAGAAUAGUAAACAUUGACAUUUUACUAUUUAGCUUGUGGACAUUGUGCUUUUGAGGUAUUGGUACAUACGUAUUAAAAUAGCUUUCUUACUUAUGCCAAAUUCAUGCUAAGUAGAAGUAGCCUAUGGUAGUAAGCAUUCAUGUUUAGUUAUCAGUUGCAUUAAUUGCUUUUAUUAUACUCGUACACUGACCUUCUUUUUGUAGCUUUUGGGCCUCGUGGCGCAGUUCACUGAAGUCAGUAAUUGCCCAUUGAGAACUAUUUUUAAUAGUUCUCACGCCCCCGUUUUGUGGUUUUCGUUUCAGAGCCUUCUGUACCGGCGGAGGCACGGGAUCGCGGCAAAGGGAUCGCCUAGCUAGUUAGCCGCGGAGCUUGCUUUUACCUAGGUGGUUUUUCUCAUUCUUUUUGUAGUUAAGAGAGAGAGAGAUUUUGUAUCCAUGUAUAGAGACCACCUGUGUAUCUACUUUAGCACUUGUAUUUGGGAUUUUCUUGUACUACUUUAUGUUUUAUUAGUAUAUUUCAGCUUUAUACUUCUUACCUGGUGUAGAAACUAAACUUUUAACAUGCUCUGAUACUCCUAGAUGUCUCCUAUUACUGCUUUUAUUAUCGUUGUUUUUAGACGCCUUAUGCGUUUUAGACGUAUGGCGGGUCUGGGCACGCGCCGGGCGGGCUUCCGCUGGGUCCCAUGGCGUAACAGAAGGACAAGGUACCCCUCGCCACCCACUGCCUCGAGAAGGCGGCGAAAGUAUGGUGGAAGCGGUGGAAGCGGUUGAAACGGGAUCGGCCCUCUGACCUUCUACCAAUGCUCUGGGAGGAGUUUAAGGGGACAAUGUUUAGAAAUUACUUUUCC
Molecule: long non-coding RNA, 2439 nt
Filed under: Ananas comosus (pineapple)
Lineage: Eukaryota; Viridiplantae; Streptophyta; Magnoliopsida; Poales; Bromeliaceae
Description: long non-coding RNA (ACOM_LNC012050)
Source: RNAcentral